UAGGGAAUCUUCGGCAAUGGACGAAAGUCUGACCGAGCAACGCCGCGUGAGUGAAGAAGGUUUUCGGAUCGUAAAACUCUGUUGUUAGAGAAGAACAAGGACGUUAGUAACUGAACGUCCCCUGACGGUAUCUAACCAGAAAGCCACGGCUAACUACGUGCCAGCAGCCGCGGUAAUACGUAGGUGGCAAGCGUUGUCCGGAUUUAUUGGGCGUAAAGCGAGCGCAGGCGGUUUCUUAAGUCUGAUGUGAAAGCCCCCGGCUCAACCGGGGAGGGUCAUUGGAAACUGGGAGACUUGAGUGCAGAAGAGGAGAAUGGAAUUCCAUAUGUAGCGGUGAAAUGCGUAGAUAUAUGGAGGAACACCAGUGGCGAAGGCGGCUAUCUGGUCUGUAACUGACGCUGAGGCUCGAAAGCGUGGGGAGCAAACAGG
This 429-nucleotide ribosomal RNA is filed under the name Gemmatimonadota bacterium. Its description in RNAcentral is "Gemmatimonadetes bacterium partial 16S ribosomal RNA". It matches the Rfam family "Bacterial small subunit ribosomal RNA", at positions 355 to 776 of the family's 1533-position model. The record is from RNAcentral. Lineage: Bacteria; Pseudomonadati; Gemmatimonadota.